UCCGAAGGGAGCUAUCGUUGUUCGGAAUUACUGGGCGUAAAGCGCACGUAGGCGGGCAAUUAAGUCAGGGGUGAAAUCCUGAGGCUCAACCUCAGAAUUGCCUUUGAUACUGGUCGCCUUGAGGUCGGGAGAGGUUGGUGGAAUUCCUAGUGUAGAGGUGAAAUUCGUAGAUAUUAGGAAGAACACCCGUGGCGAAGGCGGCCAACUGGCCCGAAUCUGACGCUGAGGUGCGAAAGCGUGGGGAGAAAACAGG
This 253-nucleotide ribosomal RNA is filed under the name uncultured bacterium. Its description in RNAcentral is "partial 16S ribosomal RNA". It matches the Rfam family "Bacterial small subunit ribosomal RNA", at positions 524 to 776 of the family's 1533-position model. The record is from RNAcentral.